This 97-nucleotide ribosomal RNA is filed under the name Rhinopithecus roxellana (golden snub-nosed monkey). The record is from RNAcentral. Lineage: Eukaryota; Metazoa; Chordata; Mammalia; Primates; Cercopithecidae.
GUCUACCGCCAUACUACCCUGAAUGCGCCUGAUCUCAUGUGAUCUCAAAAGCUACGCAGGGUCAGGCCCAGUUAGUACUGUCCAGGCACGGUGGCUC